GGGUUACCGUGACCAACAAGACGAGAGAAACGCCAGUUUUCGAUAGCAGCUAAUCGAGCUAACAUCAACACAACGGACGCUACUAGGCAAAAAGGCGAGCCGCGCGAACAUGUUUGGAUCCGCCGUGUUUGGAUGUCGAUGUAGGUCCGCAAAGCCAUGAACAUCAAUAGCAAAGCAACGUCCGCCAUUGUUGAUGAUGUGUUUGUGUUUGGCGCCGCCGCGCUAACGUUAGCUGGGAAAGAUGAGACGCAGGACUUGGCUCUGCGCUGGCUCUUUAGCCUGUGGAAAAGCAAACCGGUUCUUUGGAGGCUCGUCAGUGGAACCAACUCCAAACCGGCUCUGGCUCCGAACCAGCACCUGGUUCUUGUUGGUGGAAAAGGAGUCGGAGGAAAUCGGAGGACGACACCGGGAGCAGAAAUAGAGGAAAUUGUGUAAAAGUGAACUAAUGAAACAUGGAGAGUUUUCUGACUUAUGUGAAGAAAAUCUCUUUUCUUCGAACUUCCGUAACAAGUGCUCGUUCACCUCGGCCUCCCACGGGGACCCUGUGAAGAUCCAGCUGCUCUUCAUCUACCGUUAACCACUUAAGUGUCACGAGUGACAAAUGACCCCCUCAAAAACAAAAUCCCUCCUCCUGCUGACAAAGCAGAACCUGCUCCUCAGACCUCCGAGGAGAAGCUGACAACCUGCCCCCCUCCCUCGCUGCUUCUCUCUCUUCCCAUUGGCUGGGACGGGCCUUCUGGGUGGAGGGAAACGCGCUGAGUAAUGAGGGACCAAUUUGAAUAAAACGGGGAACCGCGGGGAUCCGGCUCUCGCAGGCGACCCGAGGGUACUCGAAUCAAACAGUCAAGUGGGCCGCUGCCUCUCUGCCGGGGUGGAAAGAGUUUGAAUGUCACAGGAGCGGAGAUGAUUGAGGCGGGGAACUCCUGCUGAUCGCGCUGAUGGCUUCAGAUGAAACGGCGGCCUCUCGACGGGAAUAACCCAAAGUAGAAGUGGAGAGGACGUGUUUGCUGAGCGCCCGCCGGGUUGCUCGGGGUCGCCCCCGUCGGUGCCUCGUCAUGGCGUCAGCGGGCUCCUUCCUGCCGUGACAUCGCCGGGGGGGCGUGUCUUCUGAUGAAAAGAGCUUCGACCGAGUGCAAAGACACAUCGAGGCGAAAUGGAAGAUGAAUGAGGGCGUUCAUUCAAACCGGAUGCUUCACAAACUGCAGUGACACCGAGCUCCACAGCGACUCCUCUGCUUGGACCAGGAGCAGAAGAAGGAGGACGGACGGCAGCGUCCCCCAGUUCCAACCGGGGGGAGGAA
Long non-coding RNA from Gasterosteus aculeatus aculeatus (three-spined stickleback), 1300 nucleotides. NCBI's taxonomy places the organism in Eukaryota, Metazoa, Chordata, Actinopteri, Perciformes, Gasterosteidae. The record is from Ensembl.